AAAGACUUAGUUAAACUAAUAACAUUAAAUUGUCAAAUUAAAAUUAUCUUCCGAUAGUCUUUA
RNAcentral lists this transfer RNA (63 nucleotides) under Lucanus chengyuani. RNAcentral describes it as "tRNA-Asp". The record is from RNAcentral. Lineage: Eukaryota; Metazoa; Arthropoda; Insecta; Coleoptera; Lucanidae.